RNAcentral lists this ribosomal RNA (497 nucleotides) under uncultured bacterium. RNAcentral's name for it is "partial 16S ribosomal RNA". It matches the Rfam family "Bacterial small subunit ribosomal RNA", at positions 28 to 507 of the family's 1533-position model. The record is from RNAcentral.
GAUGAACGCUGGCGGCGUGCCUAAUACAUGCAAGUCGAGCGAACAGACGAGGAGCUUGCUCCUCUGACGUUAGCGGCGGACGGGUGAGUAACACGUGGAUAACCUACCUAUAAGACUGGGAUAACUUCGGGAAACCGGAGCUAAUACCGGAUAAUAUAUUGAACCGCAUGGUUCAAUAGUGAAAGACGGUUUUGCUGUCACUUAUAGAUGGAUCCGCGCCGCAUUAGCUAGUUGGUAAGGUAACGGCUUACCAAGGCAACGAUGCGUAGCCGACCUGAGAGGGUGAACGGCCCCACUGGAACUGAGAAACGGUCCCGACUCCGACGGGAGGCAGCAGUAGGGAAUCUUCCGGCAUGGGGGGAAGCCUGACGGAGCAAAGACGCGGGGGUGAUGAAGGUCUUCGGAUCGUAAAACUCUGUUAUUAGGGAAGAACAAAUGUGUAAGUAACUAUGCACGUCUUGACGGUACCUAAUCAGAAAGCCACGGCUAACUACGUG